Molecule: long non-coding RNA, 108 nt
Organism: Limulus polyphemus (Atlantic horseshoe crab)
Lineage: Eukaryota; Metazoa; Arthropoda; Merostomata; Xiphosura; Limulidae
Exons: 3
Source: RefSeq, a predicted model, not a curated record
UGAGGUAAGGAAUGGGCUAAUGAUGUGGGGAAAGGUAGGUCAGCGGAGCUAAUCAAUAAGUACAAGGGGCUGAUAAAGACAUUUAAAGAAAAAGGCCAUAACUUAAGU